AACGAACGCUGGCGGCAUGCCUAACACAUGCAAGUCGAACGAGACCUUCGGGUCUAGUGGCGCACGGGUGCGUAACGCGUGGGAACCUGCCCUUAGGUUCGGAAUAACUCCCCGAAAGGGGUGCUAAUACCGGAUAAUGUCUUCGGACCAAAGAUUUAUCGCCUUUGGAUGGGCCCGCGUUGGAUUAGUUAGUUGGUAGGGUAAAAGCCUACCAAGGCGACGAUCCAUAGCUGGUCUGAGAGGAUGAUCAGCCACACUGGGACUGAGACACGGCCCAGACUCCUACGGGAAGCAGCAGUGGGGAAUAUUGGACAAUGGGCGAAAGCCUGAUCCAGCAAUGCCGCGUGAGUGAUGAAGGCCUUAGGGUUGUAAAGCUCUUUUACCCGGGAUGAUAAUGACAGUACCGGGAGAAUAAGCUCCGGCUAACUCCGUG
RNAcentral lists this ribosomal RNA (433 nucleotides) under uncultured bacterium. RNAcentral describes it as "partial 16S ribosomal RNA". It matches the Rfam family "Bacterial small subunit ribosomal RNA", at positions 29 to 507 of the family's 1533-position model. The record is from RNAcentral.